Molecule: ribosomal RNA, 926 nt
Filed under: uncultured bacterium
Lineage: Bacteria
Description: bacterial SSU rRNA
Rfam family: Bacterial small subunit ribosomal RNA
Source: RNAcentral
UGAUUAGAGUUUGAUCAUGGCUCAGAUUGAACGCUGGCGGCAGGCCUAACACAUGCAAGUCGAGCGGUAGAGAGAAGCUUGCUUCUCUUGAGAGCGGCGGACGGGUGAGUAAUGCCUAGGAAUCUGCCUGGUAGUGGGGGAUAACGUUCGGAAACGAACGCUAAUACCGCAUACGUCCUACGGGAGAAAGCAGGGGACCUUCGGGCCUUGCGCUAUCAGAUGAGCCUAGGUCGGAUUAGCUAGUUGGUGGGGUAAUGGCUCACCAAGGCGACGAUCCGUAACUGGUCUGAGAGGAUGAUCAGUCACACUGGAACUGAGACACGGUCCAGACUCCUACGGGAGGCAGCAGUGGGGAAUAUUGGACAAUGGGCGAAAGCCUGAUCCAGCCAUGCCGCGUGUGUGAAGAAGGUCUUCGGAUUGUAAAGCACUUUAAGUUGGGAGGAAGGGCCAUUACCUAAUACGUGAUGGUUUUGACGUUACCGACAGAAUAGAGCACCGGCUAACUCUGUGCCAGCAGCCGCGGUAAUACAGAGGGUGCAAGCGUUAAUCGGAAUUACUGGGCGUAAAGCGCGCGUAGGUGGUUUGUUAAGUUGGAUGUGAAAUCCCCGGGCUCAACCUGGGAACUGCAUUCAAAACUGACUGACUAGAGUAUGGUAGAGGGUGGUGGAAUUUCCUGUGUAGCGGUGAAAUGCGUAGAUAUAGGAAGGAACACCAGUGGCGAAGGCGACCACCUGGACUGAUACUGACACUGAGGUGCGAAAGCGUGGGGAGCAAACAGGAUUAGAUACCCUGGUAGUCCACGCCGUAAACGAUGUCAACUAGCCGUUGGGAGCCUUGAGCUCUUAGUGGCGCAGCUAACGCAUUAAGUUGACCGCCUGGGGAGUACGGCCGCAAGGUUAAAACUCAAAUGAAUUGACGGGGGCCCG